CUUCGGGUUGUAAACCUCUUUCAGUAGGGAAGAAGCGAAAGUGACGGUACCUGCAGAAGAAGCGCCGGCUAACUACGUGCCAGCAGCCGCGGUAAUACGUAGGGCGCAAGCGUUAUCCCGGAAUUAUUGGGCGUAAAGAGCUCGUAGGCGGUUUGUCGCGUCUGCCGUGAAAGUCCCGGGGCUUAACUCCGGAUCUGCGGUGGGUACGGGCAGACUUGAGUGAUGUAGGGGAGACUGGAAUUCCUGGUGUAGCGGUGAAAUGCGCAGAUAUCAGGAGGAACACCGAUGGCGAAGGCAGGUCUCUGGGCAUUAACUGACGCUGAGGAGCGAAAGCAUGGGGAGCGAACAGGAUUAGAUACCCUGGUAGUCCAUGCCGUAAACGUUGGGCACUAGGUGUGGGGGACAUUCCACGUUUUCCGCGCCGUAGCUAACGCAUUAAGUGCCCCGCCUGGGGAGUACGGCCGCAAGGCUAAAACUCAAAGGAAUUGACGGGGGCCCGCACAAGCGGCGGAGCAUGCGGAUUAAUUCGAUGCAACGCGAAGAACCUUACCAAGGCUUGACAUGAACCGGAACGGCGCAGAGAUGUGUCGGCCACUUGUGGCCGGUUUACAGGUGGUGCAUGGUUGUCGUCAGCUCGUGUCGUGAGAUGUUGGGUUAAGUCCCGCAACGAGCGCAACCCUCGUUCCAUGUUGCCAGCGGGUUAUGCCGGGGACUCAUGGGAGACUGCCGGGGUCAACUCGGAGGAAGGUGGGGACGACGUCAAAUCAUCAUGCCCCUUAUGUCUUGGGCUUCACGCAUGCUACAAUGGCCGGUACAAAGGGUUGCGAUGCUGUGAGGUGGAGCUAAUCCCAAAAAGCCGGUCUCAGUUCGGAUUGAGGUCUGCAACUCGACCUCAUGAAGUGGGAGUCGCUAGUAAUCGCAGAUCAGCAUUGCUGCGGUGAAUAC
RNAcentral lists this ribosomal RNA (945 nucleotides) under Arthrobacter tecti. Its description in RNAcentral is "bacterial SSU rRNA". It matches the Rfam family "Bacterial small subunit ribosomal RNA", at positions 416 to 1369 of the family's 1533-position model. The record is from RNAcentral. Lineage: Bacteria; Bacillati; Actinomycetota; Actinomycetes; Micrococcales; Micrococcaceae.